Molecule: long non-coding RNA, 1872 nt
Organism: Homo sapiens (human)
Lineage: Eukaryota; Metazoa; Chordata; Mammalia; Primates; Hominidae
Source: Ensembl
GUUAGCAUGGCAUUUUGAAUGGAGUUUUAAGCCUAAAGGACAGUAUCCUACUUGCAGAAGAAGAUGGGAAAUGUAACAUUCCAUUAUCUUGCUUUGGAUUUAUGGAAAUUCUGAACAGUGAUGUGAGAGUGACUACAGUUUGAAGUAUCUGUUAAAUACAGCAACAUGACAUCACAAGGAUUGUUUUGGAGUCUUCUGGAUAUGAGAACAUUAUAAAAGGUGAAAAAGUAGAACUGAAAUAUGAAGGGAGAAAAAGAGACAAACAUGGUUUCAAGUCUCACUUAGAGAAGAAGGAUUGUUUAUUUAUUUGAUGGAAAUUGGGUCAAUUGAAGACUCUGACACAGAGAAUAACGGUACCAGACCUGAGUCCAGUCUUAGCUUUAGUAGGAACAAAAUGUAUCAAUCAAAUUUAUAUAGGACCAAAUACCAGUGAAAGAAAUUAGACAUAAUUACUGAAAGAAUAAAUUACAUGAGAUAUUCACUGUACUUAGCCACAUGACAUGAAAACCUAUGCCCUUUAGAGCAAGCACAGUUCCAUGCAAAACUGUAGAGAAGUUUUCUCACCCCUUUUUCACAUGCUUCUCACAUUGUAGCACCCCUCCUUGAAACCAUCCUACUUCUACUAUCCUCCAGUUUCCUCUGGAUUUGAAUGUCCAUAUCAUGCUAUGGUCCUUCAGUCAGCUCCUGUGUCAGAAAUCAGGGCCCUGCUCUGGGCUCUUCCUUCAUCCUGUAACUAUAGUCAAAUAAGUCCUGUUAAGUCUACUUCCUUAAAAACUCUUAAUAAUCUCUUCCCCUUCUUCAUUGCCAUUGCCUAUUGCACCAUCUUAUUCAGAACACCAUUUUUCUUACCUAUAAUGUUGAAAGUAACUCUUCAACAGUCCUGUUGCGUGCUUUAUCCCAUUGCUUCUUAUAUAACAGAUGUGGUGAUAUUUAGCCUAUUUGUAGUUCCUUGAAACCAUCCUUUGUACUGCCAUCUAAGUAAUCUUUAAAAUAACAAGAUAAAUAUUUCUAUGACCUCCAUUGUCUAAAGCAAAUUUCCAAUGUAUAUUGUGAAAAAAAUGCCAAAGAGUUUCAUGACAAAUGCUAUAUACUAUAGUCUUGGGAGAGCCACAGGGUAAAUUAGUUCUAAAGAGCUCUCUUUGGUAGAGGAAACUGUUAAAAUGUGAUCAGCCUAAUAAGAUCAUAAUCAUAUGACUAUGAACUAUUUUAAAUGUACCUAUCAAUUUUUUCAACCUACUGUUUUGAAGUAUAUUCAAUCUAUUGUCUCAAGUAUAUUUUUCAAUGUACUUGAGAGUAUAUUGACCUGAAGAGAAAAGUCCAAACUCCUAUGACCUUACUAUUGUUCUGACCUCAUCUCUCACAGCUCCCUCUUAUUCCUGGUGUUCUAUCACAUGAUAAUGAAAUUUGACAGAACAGUAUUUAUGUUACUGGGGGUGUGGGGCAUUGAGGAAGCAUGGCAAAUGAGAGGGAAGUGGUAGAAAAAUGACUUUUAUCAUGUGCCUCUAAGAAGAGACAUAUAUGGAUUGAGAUCCACUUAAAAGGGAAAAGUUAAAAAAAAUCAAAACCCAAAAAUCACCACCAUUCUGUGGAUGUGGUAUAUUUAAUUGUCUAAUAAUAAUAAAUUUCCCACAAUGUCAGAUGUUAAGAGUACAAGAAAGAGUUACAAAAGGAAGAGGUUAGGGCAAUAAAUUGAAAAGUGAGUAGAGUUGAGGAAAAUGCUUUGCUAGAUUGCUAGAUUGAAGUUUUCUUCAAUCUAGCAAAAAAGGAGACAGGAGAAAAGGAGCAAAUUGCAAAGGCAAUGGAGGGGAGAUAACAUAGCUGAUUACUAAAGAGGAUAUUUGUGUACUUAUUUGUAUGGUGUGUGUGUGUACG